Molecule: non-coding RNA, 21 nt
Filed under: Caenorhabditis elegans
Lineage: Eukaryota; Metazoa; Nematoda; Chromadorea; Rhabditida; Rhabditidae
Source: RNAcentral
UGCUCGACUAUUCAUCUUCAA